Molecule: long non-coding RNA, 553 nt
Filed under: Zostera marina
Lineage: Eukaryota; Viridiplantae; Streptophyta; Magnoliopsida; Alismatales; Zosteraceae
Description: long non-coding RNA (ZMAR_LNC005919)
Source: RNAcentral
CAGUUAAUAACGAUUGCGUGAGUUGUAAGCAAUUUAUAAUUGGAAAAAAAAAGGUAGAGGGAGUUGUCGAUCACCUGCUUGGAAUUCACGAAGCCUGUCUCCUUUUGUCACAGGAUAUGGAUCAUGGUGACCGGUUGCUAUGAUCAGGUAAUCAUAUGGAACCAGACGCCCAUCUUUAGUCAUGACCUCUUUCGAUUUAAUAUCGACUGCAGUAGUUGUCAUCAGAUUUACAUUUGUCAGGUAUUCUUUAUGAUUGAUGAUCGUCCUAUCGGCAAAAGUCGGUUCAACCUUGGCCCUCAUUUCCGCCCAUGUGAUCUCAAAGUACUCCUUCCUGGUUAUUUUUCACGGCACAACACAUUUCAGAAGAAAGAAAGAAAAGAAAAAACCAAAAUUCCGAACGAACGAGACAUACGGAUCGAUAAGGACGACAUCUGAAUGGGACUGGAGAGCUUUCGCAACAGUACCACCGGCGAUGCCUCCUCCGACGAUAACCACACACGGUUUCUUCCCCGCCAUGGAUCAAUAUCAAAAUAAGUUGUUCGAGGUGCGAAAG